Molecule: transfer RNA, 79 nt
Filed under: Actinobacillus pleuropneumoniae serovar 3 str. JL03
Lineage: Bacteria; Pseudomonadati; Pseudomonadota; Gammaproteobacteria; Pasteurellales; Pasteurellaceae
Description: tRNA-His
Rfam family: tRNA
About the family: Transfer RNA (tRNA) molecules are approximately 80 nucleotides in length. Their secondary structure includes four short double-helical elements and three loops (D, anti-codon, and T loops). Further hydrogen bonds mediate the characteristic L-shaped molecular structure. tRNAs have two regions of fundamental functional importance: the anti-codon, which is responsible for specific mRNA codon recognition, and the 3' end, to which the tRNAs corresponding amino acid is attached (by aminoacyl-tRNA synthetases). tRNAs cope with the degeneracy of the genetic code in two manners: having more than one tRNA (with a specific anti-codon) for a particular amino acid; and 'wobble' base-pairing, i.e. permitting non-standard base-pairing at the 3rd anti-codon position.
Source: RNAcentral
GUGGCUAUAGCUCAGUUGGUAGAGCCCCGGAUUGUGAUUCCGGUUGUCGUGAGUUCGAGUCUCAUUAGCCACCCCAUUU